Molecule: ribosomal RNA, 484 nt
Filed under: uncultured bacterium
Lineage: Bacteria
Description: partial 16S ribosomal RNA
Rfam family: Bacterial small subunit ribosomal RNA
Source: RNAcentral
GAUUAACGCUAGCGGCAGGCAUAAUACAUGCAAGUUGAACGGCAGCACAGGUAGCAAUACUGGGUGGCGAGUGGCGCACGGGUGCGUAACACGUAUGCAACCUACCCUAUACAGGCGAAUAACCUUUAGAAAUGAGGGCUAAUACGCCGUAGUAUUACAGAUGGGCAUCUAUUUGUAAUUAAAGAUUUAUCGGUAUAGGAUGGGCAUGCGUCCCAUUAGUUAGUUGGUAAGGUAACGGCUUACCAAGACGAUGAUGGGUAGGGGAUCUGAGAGGACUUACCCCCACUCUGGUACUGAGACACGGACCAGACUCCUACGGGAGGCAGCAGUAAGGAAUAGUGGGCAAUGGCCGCGAGGCUGACCCAGCCAUGCCGCGUGCAGGAAGACGGCCUUAUGGGUUGUAAACUGCUUUUAUACGGGAAUAAUAGAGUGUACGCGUACAUUUAUGCAAGUAUCGUAUGAAUAAGCAUCGGCUAACUCCGUG